Long non-coding RNA from Mesocricetus auratus (golden hamster), 833 nucleotides. RefSeq lists it as uncharacterized. The transcript has 3 exons. The record is from RefSeq and is a predicted model, not a curated record. Lineage: Eukaryota; Metazoa; Chordata; Mammalia; Rodentia; Cricetidae.
CUGCUGCUGCUGCUGCUGCUGCUGUACCAUUGCCUGUCCAGAGACUGGUGAAUCAGUGGUUGUAUCUGAAAAGGAGACAAAUGGGACUGAGGAAGAAAAUAUGCCACUUCUUUCUCUGUGUGUAUUUUAAAAGGCAUCGUGUACGUGUGGUAACCCAGUGGUAAGAAGACAUAAAAACCUGAUCUAAGUACUGACUUAGCCUCAGUUAUUUUAUGCCACUGGGAUGGUGUUGUUUUCUUUCACCCUCUUUAAUGCUGCAGACAUUUAUAUUUUCAUGUUGUCAUGGAGACCAGAGGCAAUUCAAAUGAUUUUGUUCAUGAUUGUGGAAUCAUCUGUCUCCUGGAGUCAUCCUGUGAUAGACGCUGUGGACAGAAAAGAUUAAAGAAGCAAAUGGGCAAGGGCGUAUUUAUGCAACGUGACAAGAGCGUGCACAAGGAAGGGUGAUGUCAUAAUGCUUCCCCAGCUCAUACUGCCUGGUGCUUGCUGCUGGUUCUGUGCCUGCUCCCUCCUCUCUCAGGUAACACCACUGUCUACGAUUUUCCUCUGUGGCCUGAUUGGCAAAAGUGUCCCAAGAGUUUGACAAAGGGUGUCCUGAGGUCUUCAACCAAGUCUCAGAGGAUACAUACUUUCUUUCUGGAGAGAAAUGUUUCUUCUUGGAACUUAAAGACAACUUUACCUAGUGUGGUGGUGAUCGGUAUUGCAAGCUUCCAACUCGGGACAGCAUAGGAGUUAAAGUAUUCCACUUUUUGAGACACCCCCUCCUGUCAUCAGACUUGAUACACGUAAAUAGAUUUUGAAAAGAACAGAAAUUCCCCUCCCUCCUGAUUUCUUUC